CCGGUACAGAGUCAAUGUGGAGGCUAUUUACAGGGUGUUACGGUACAGAGUCAAUGUGGAGGCUAUAUACAGGGUGUUACGGUACAGAGUCAAUGUGGAGGCUAUAUACAGGGUGUUACGGUACAGAGUCAAUGUGGAGGCUAUAUACAGGGUGUUACGGUACAGAGUCAAUGUGGAGGCUAUUUACAGGGUGUUACGGUACAGAGUCAAUGUGGAGGCUAUAUACAGGGGUACCAGUACAGAGUCAAUGUGGAGGCUAUAUACAGGGUGUUAUGGUACAGAGUCAAUGUGGAGGCUAUAUACAGGGGUACCAGUACAGAGUCAAUGUGGAGGCUAUAUACAGGGUGUUAUGGUACAGAGUCAAUGUGGAGGCUAUAUACAGGGGAUACCGGUACAGAGUCAAUGUGGAGGUUAUAUACAGGGGAUACCGGUACAGAGUCAAUGUGGAGGCUAUAUACAGGGGGUACCAGUACAGAGUCAAUGUGGAGGCUAUAUACAGGGGGUACCGGUACAGAGUCAAUGUGGAGGCUAUAUACAGGGGGUACCGGUACAGAGUCAACGUGGAGGCUAUAUACAGGGGAUACCAGUACAGAGUCAAUGUGGAGGCUAUAUACAGGGGAUACCGGUACAGAGUCAAUGUGGAGGCUAUAUACAGGGGGUACCAGUACAGAGUCAAUGUGGAGGCUAUAUACAGGGGGUACC
Molecule: long non-coding RNA, 702 nt
Organism: Oncorhynchus tshawytscha (Chinook salmon)
Lineage: Eukaryota; Metazoa; Chordata; Actinopteri; Salmoniformes; Salmonidae
Source: Ensembl